Molecule: ribosomal RNA, 512 nt
Filed under: Drosophila nr. humeralis RL-2010
Lineage: Eukaryota; Metazoa; Arthropoda; Insecta; Diptera; Drosophilidae
Description: partial 16S ribosomal RNA
Rfam family: Bacterial large subunit ribosomal RNA (bases 388-512)
Source: RNAcentral
GUCUUUUUGAAUUUAAUUUAAAGUCUAACCUGCCCACUGAAAAUUUUUAAAUGGCCGCAGUAUUCUAACUGUGCAAAGGUAGCAUAAUCAUUAGUCUUUUAAUUGAAGGCUGGAAUGAAUGGUUGGACGAAAUAUUAACUGUUUCAUUUAAAUUUUUUAUAGAAUUUUAUUUUUUAGUCAAAAAGCUAAAAUAAAAUUAAAAGACGAGAAGACCCUAUAAAUCUUUAUAUUUUAUUUUAUUUUAAUUAUAAAGAUUAAUUUUAUUAUAAUAAAAUAAAAUAUUUUAUUGGGGUGAUAUUAAAAUUUAAAAAACUUUUAAUUUUUAAAACCAUUAAUUUAUGAAUAAUUGAUCCAUUAAUAAUGAUUAAAAAUUUAAGUUACUUUAGGGAUAACAGCGUAAUUUUUUUGGAGAGUUCAUAUCGAUAAAAAAGAUUGCGACCUCGAUGUUGGAUUAAGAUAUAAUUUUGGGUGUAGCCGUUCAAAUUUUAAGUCUGUUCGACUUUUAAAUUCUU